UAGGGAAUCUUCCACAAUGGGCGCAAGCCUGAUGGAGCAACGCCGCGUGAGUGAGAAGGUCUUCGGAUCGUAAAACUCUGUUGUUAGAGAGAACAUGCGAGAGAGUAACUGUUCUUGUAUUGACGGUAUCUAACCAGAAAGCCACGGCUAACUACGUGCCAG
Molecule: ribosomal RNA, 162 nt
Filed under: uncultured bacterium
Lineage: Bacteria
Description: partial 16S rRNA
Rfam family: Bacterial small subunit ribosomal RNA
Source: RNAcentral